UAUUAUGAGAGUUUGAUCCUGGCUCAGGACGAACGCUGGCGGCGUGCCUAAUACAUGCAAGUCGAACGCUUCUUUUUCCACCGGAGCUUGCUCCACCGGAAAAAGAGGAGUGGCGAACGGGUGAGUAACACGUGGGUAACCUGCCCAUCAGAAGGGGAUAACACUUGGAAACAGGUGCUAAUACCGUAUAACAAUCGAUACCGCAUGGUUUUGAUUUGAAAGGCGCUUUACGGUGCCGCUGAUGGAUGGACCCGCGGUGCAUUAGCUAGUUGGUGAGGUAACGGCUCACCAAGGCCACGAUGCAUAGCCGACCUGAGAGGGUGAUCGGCCACAUUGGGACUGAGACACGGCCCAAACUCCUACGGGAGGCAGCAGUAGGGAAUCUUCGGCAAUGGACGAAAGUCUGACCGAGCAACGCCGCGUGAGUGAAGAAGGUUUUCGGAUCGUAAAACUCUGUUGUUAGAGAAGAACAAGGAUGAGAGUAACUGUUCAUCCCUUGACGGUAUCUAACCAGAAAGCCACGGCUAACUACGUGCCAGCAGCCGCGGUAAUACGUAGGUGGCAAGCGUUGUCCGGAUUUAUUGGGCGUAAAGCGAGCGCAGGCGGUUUCUUAAGUCUGAUGUGAAAGCCCCCGGCUCAACCGGGGAGGGUCAUUGGAA
RNAcentral lists this non-coding RNA (659 nucleotides) under Candidatus Enterococcus wittei. RNAcentral's name for it is "Enterococcus sp. 10A9_DIV0425 Bacterial small subunit ribosomal RNA". It matches the Rfam family "Bacterial small subunit ribosomal RNA", at positions 1 to 631 of the family's 1533-position model. Lineage: Bacteria; Bacillati; Bacillota; Bacilli; Lactobacillales; Enterococcaceae. The record is from Rfam by way of RNAcentral.